RNAcentral lists this ribosomal RNA (429 nucleotides) under uncultured bacterium. RNAcentral describes it as "bacterial SSU rRNA". It matches the Rfam family "Bacterial small subunit ribosomal RNA", at positions 355 to 776 of the family's 1533-position model. The record is from RNAcentral.
UCGAGAAUAAUUCACAAUGGGCGAAAGCCUGAUGGUGCAACGCCGCGUGGAGGAUGACGGUCUUCGGAUUGUAAACUCCUGUCAUCAGGGAGUAAGACCUGGGUGUUAAUAGCACACAGGGUUGAUAGUACCUGAAGAGGAAGGGACGGCUAACUUCGUGCCAGCAGCCGCGGUAAUACGAAGGUCCCAAGCGUUGUUCGGAUUCACUGGGCGUAAAGGGAGCGUAGGCUGUGCGGUAAGUCAGAUGUGAAAUCCCGGGGCUCAACCCCGGAACUGCAUCCGAUACUGCCGUACUAGAGUAUUGGAGAGGUAACAGGAAUUCACGGUGUAGCAGUGAAAUGCGUAGAUAUCGUGAGGAAGACCAAUGGCGAAAGCAUGUUACUGGACAAUCACUGACGCUGAGGCUCGAAGGCCAGGGUAGCGAAAGGG